UACGGGGGGGGCAAGCGUUGUUCGGAAUUACUGGGCGUAAAGGGUUCGUAGGUGGCCGACUAAGUCAGACGUGAAAUCCCUCAGCUUAACUGGGGAACUGCGUCUGAUACUGGUUGGCUUGAGGACAGGAGAGGAACGCGGAAUUCCAGGUGUAGCGGUGAAAUGCGUAGAUAUCUGGAGGAACACCGGUGGCGAAGGCGGCGUUCUGGACUGUUUCUGACACUGAGGAACGAAAGCCAGGGGAGCAAACGGG
This 253-nucleotide ribosomal RNA is filed under the name uncultured bacterium. RNAcentral describes it as "partial 16S ribosomal RNA". It matches the Rfam family "Bacterial small subunit ribosomal RNA", at positions 524 to 776 of the family's 1533-position model. The record is from RNAcentral.